GAUGAACGCUGGCGGCGUGCCUAAUACAUGCAAGUCGAGCGAACAGACGAGGAGCUUGCUCCUCUGACGUUAGCGGCGGACGGGUGAGUAACACGUGGAUAACCUACCUAUAAGACUGGGAUAACUUCGGGAAACCGGAGCUAAUACCGGAUAAUAUAUUGAACCGCAUGGUUCAAUAGUGAAAGACGGUUUUGCUGUCACUUAUAGAUGGAUCCGCGCCGCAUUAGCUAGUUGGUAAGGUAAUGGCUUACCAAGGCAACGAUGCGUAGCCGACCUGAGAGGGUGAUCGGCCACACUGGAACUGAGACACGGUCCAGACUCCUACGGGAGGCAGCAGUAGGGAAUCUUCCGCAAAGGGCGAAAGCCUGACGGAGCAACGCCGCGUGAGUGAUGAAGGUCUCCGGAUCGUAAAACUCUGUUAUUAGGGAAGAACAAAUGUGUAAGUAACUAUGCACGUCUUGACGGUACCUAAUCAGAAAGCCACGGCUAACUACGUG
This 497-nucleotide ribosomal RNA is filed under the name uncultured bacterium. RNAcentral's name for it is "partial 16S ribosomal RNA". It matches the Rfam family "Bacterial small subunit ribosomal RNA", at positions 28 to 507 of the family's 1533-position model. The record is from RNAcentral.